GGAGUUAGCCGGUGCUUCUUCUGUGAGUGAUGUCCUUCCUGCCGGCUAUUAACCCGCAGGCCUUCUUCCUCACUGAAAGUGCUUUACAACCCGAAGGCCUUCUUCACACACGCGGCAUUGCUGGAUCAGGGUUGCCCCCAUUGUCCAAUAUUCCCCACUGCUGCCUCCCGUAGGAGUCUGGGCCGUGUCUCAGUCCCAGUGUGGCUGAUCAUCCUCUCAGACCAGCUACGGAUCGUCGCCUUGGUGAGCCGUUACCUCACCAACCAGCUAAUCCGACAUAGGCUCAUCCGAUAGCGCGAGGCCCGAAGGUCCCCCGCUUUCCCCCGUAGGGCGUAUGCGGUAUUAGCCUGGGUUUCCCCAGGUUAUCCCCCACUACCGGGCAGAUUCCUAUGCAUUACUCACCCGUCCGCCGCUCGCCACCAGGGAGCAAGCUCCCCGUGCUGCCGCUCGACUUGCAUGUGUUAGGCCUGCCGCCAGCGUUCAAUCUGAGCCAGGAUCAAACUCUGA
This 507-nucleotide ribosomal RNA is filed under the name uncultured bacterium. RNAcentral's name for it is "partial 16S ribosomal RNA". The record is from RNAcentral.